UUCAAAAUGUCAACUUGGAUUUGGAUUUUUUCCGGCUAAAAAUGGUCCGUAGCUUUUCUCAGGAUCGGUUUUGUUUUUAUCGGACGAAACUGUACGUCAUGUUUGACGUCACCAGCUGUAACAGAAAUUGAAAACACAGAGGAAAAAGGAUUUAUCAAGUCUCUGUUAAAAGUAAGUAUUUUGUAGUCUUUGUUAUAUUACGUUUUUGAGAGUUUCAUAAUUUCAGAGGUCCCUAAAUGUUUGAACUUUAUGUACAGCAACAUAACGCAUAAUUACUCAACAGUCCUUGCAGGCUAUUGUGUCGUAGGCUGUGAACGACGUGCCAGAUCUCUCCUGUGUUGGAUAUUUGUAUAUCAGCAUUACUAUUUUUAUUAGGUCUAUUUAUUGUUCAGUUGGUUAAAUUUGUUUGAACACUGAAGCCUGCCGGUACAUCUGUACUGCCACCCUACGUACGAUACGGAGAAAAUUCGAAAGUGAAAGUAGAAAUCUUGUACAAUUGAACAAUAACCAUCUCCGAUCUCGAAGUUGAAGUUAAACACACAAUGUGAGCGAUGUUUUCCCUGAUUCUAACAGUUCAUCUUAAUUGGUUUCACCAUUAUCGAGAAAAAAAACCCGAUUUGAUAUUUUUUUUUAUUGUAUUUUAAACAGCUGGAACUCGGUAUCACAUCUGACUUGCACUUCUGAAACACUGUGAAAUGGAUCAAAUCGGACUUUGUCGUCGAGACUCGGAAGAACCCAGCUGUCUAAAUUAUUAUGCCAUUGGAACACAAAACAGAAAAGAUACUUGUAUGCAAGGCAUGGAGAAUAGAGCAGACUACAGCCUCUAUAUACCAUUCCUUGGUGCCUCCUUGAAUUGAUGUUUUUCAGGAUAACCAUACAGGAACAAAGGUUAACUCAGUAUAAAGGCUUGCUGACAUAAACAGAACAUGAUAAUCACAAGAAAGUGAAUAUAUUUCAUCACCUUAAGCAAUCUUCAAAAUCCAGGUAAAGUGCAUUUAUUCUGAACACAUAUCAAAUAUUUAGAACCAUUUAAUAUGUCACCCCUAAUUUUUUUUGAAAGUAUACUGGAAACACGAUGUCUGUUUGCCAGUCUCACUGUACAGUGUAUAGUAAAAUAUAUGGAAGUAUAUAGUUUUUAAAUACUAGUAGCUUUUUAGUUCACCUGAGCCGAAAGCUCAAGUGAACUUUUCAGAUCACAUUUUGUUCGGCGUCUGUCUGUCCAUCUGU
Molecule: long non-coding RNA, 1227 nt
Organism: Saccostrea cuccullata (small rock oyster)
Lineage: Eukaryota; Metazoa; Mollusca; Bivalvia; Ostreida; Ostreidae
Exons: 3
Source: RefSeq, a predicted model, not a curated record